Molecule: ribosomal RNA, 836 nt
Filed under: uncultured archaeon
Lineage: Archaea
Description: bacterial SSU rRNA
Rfam family: Archaeal small subunit ribosomal RNA
Source: RNAcentral
UUCGCCCUUUUCCGGUUGAUCCUGCCGGACCCCACUGCUAUCGAGAUGGGACUAAGGUAUGCUAGUCGAACGACCAGAACUAUGUCUGGAAGUGGCACGCUGCUCAGUAACACGUAGCUAACCUACCCUUAGGACGUGGAUACCCCCGAGAAAUUGGGGUUAAUCCGCGAUAGAUGUAAUGUCCUGGAAUGGUAUUACGUCUAAAGGUAUUUCAUACAUGUUUGAAAUAUGCCUAAGGAUGGGGCUGCGGCCGAUCAGGCUGUUGGUGAGGUAAUGGCUCACCAAACCUUUGACCGGUACGGGCCAUGAGAGUGGUAGCCCGGAGAUGGACACUGAGACAAGGGUCCAGGCCCUAAGGGGCGCAGCAACCGCGAAACCUCCACAAUGCACUCACGUGCGAUGGGGCUAUCUCGAGUGCCACCUGAUGAAGGUGGCUUUUCCUAGGUCUUCAAAGCCCUGGGAAUAAGAGGGGGGCAAGACUGGUGUCAGCCGCCGCGGUAACACCAGCCCCUCGAGUGGUGGGGAUGAUUAUUUGGCCUAAAGCGUCCGUAGCCGGCCGAGCAAGUCUUCCGUUAAAUCCAGCGUCUCAAGCGUUGGACCGCGGGAGAUACUACACGGCUAGAGAGUGGGAGAGGUCAGCGGUAUUCUGGGGGUAAGGGCGAAAUCUUUUGAUCCCCGGAGGACCACCAGUGGCGAAGGCUGCUGACUAGAACACGUCUGACGGUCAGGGACGAAAGCUGGGGUAGCGAACCGGAUUAGAUACCCGGGUAGUCCCAGCCGUAAACGAUGCAUGCUAGGUGUUGGGUUGGCCACGAGCCACCCCAGUGCCGCAGGGA